Molecule: ribosomal RNA, 253 nt
Filed under: uncultured bacterium
Lineage: Bacteria
Description: partial 16S ribosomal RNA
Rfam family: Bacterial small subunit ribosomal RNA
Source: RNAcentral
GACAGGGGGCCCGAGCGUUACUCGGAAUCACUGGGCUUAAAGGGUGCGUAGGCGGCCUCGCAAGCGUUUUGUGAAAUCCCCGGGCUCAACCCGGGAACUGCAGAGCGAACUGCGAGACUUGAGGAAACUAGAGGCCGGCGGAACGAUAGGUGGAGCGGUGGAAUGCGUAGAGAUCUAUCGGAACGCCAAAGGUGAAGACAGCCGGCUGGGGUUUUCCUGACGCUGAGGCACGAAAGCGUGGGUAGCAAACAGG